CCCAACUGUGCAAGACCGUCGUUAAAGCCUCGCUCCGCUGUCCUCUUUGUCUCCGUGUCCACUUACUGGGUUCAGACCAGUGAGUUUCUCACAUUUUGGGGGCUCGUCUAGGAUCCUCUUGCCUGUGCAAGUUGGGGGCCCAAGCGGAGUGGGAAGACGCGUCCCCCAGCUUUGGGCGGCCCAUCUGCCGGGGCAUCUCACCUUCGCCCGGAAGCCAAGGGGAGACCCGAGACUGUUGUGUGGAGACAGCGUGACCGAAGCAGGGGAGAAAACGCAGGCACCGCGGCAACCAGGCGACCUCGUGCCUGAGCCAAGGGCUCCAGUGCUUUGCGAGCGACGAAGCCUCCCGCUCCCCGGAGGGCGGACACUGCGCCCUCUGCCGGUCACCCAGGGCGCUUCCCUCUUUCCCCUCAACGCCAGAGACGGGAAAGCCGAGGAGGAGGCGCAGGAGACCCCCCAGGACAAGUCGGGGUGUUGGGGAGCGUUGUGUGCUUUCCUCGUCCUCUAGGUAAUUCUGCAAAAUCAGCUUAACACCAGAAAUCUACGGCUUUAGUCCCCUCCCGGGAUGGCAGCUUCCUGGUUUGGGAGCUUAUCAGGACUGUCUGCCCUCCUCCAAGAAGGGCGGAGUGGUCUGUUUGCUAAUGAGCUGAAAGGACUCCUCACCCAGACUUCCCCGCCUGAGCCCUUCACUCACUGCUUCCAGCCUGGGGACCUGGUGUUAGUAAAGUCCUGGAAAGGAGACCGACUCCAGCUCAGCUGGGAAGGCCCCUGCCAAGUGCCUCCUGACCACAGAGACGCAGUGAGGACGGCCGAAAAGGGCUGGACUCAUUACAUCAGAGUAAAGAAACUGAGGGGGUCUGGGGACAAAACAGAAUUGGCAGGUGUCCCAGGUGGUGACCAACUCUUAAGGCUGAAACUAAAAAGAACCUGAAGUGUUAACUGUUAUCCUUCUAACUAUAUUUCACAGACAAGUCUCAGGGAACCCUAGAAUGGAAAGGAACUCUGGGUUAUCCUGUCAGGCCCCCAAACCAUCAGGUUUGGUGGGUGUCAGGUUCUCUCUGUGGUGACUUAAGUGACCAAGCACAGCUUCCCAGAGGUAGUAAGUGUCUAUGUCCUGAAUGGAUGCAUAUUAAUGGAAUAAAAAAGGGAAAUGGGCCCCCAUGUGCAGGGUGGAGUGGUGUCUGGUGGACUACCCAGUUUCAAGGACGGACGGCCCCUCGUGCAGCAGGAAAAACCUUUAAAAGGAAAGCUCCCCUAAGCUCCCCUUGGCUAAAGGAAUUUCUCCUGAUAAUUGCCAGGACAGACAGUGUAAUCCCCUCUUGUUAACUAUACAUAAUCCUCAAGACUCAAGGGGAAGGUUUCACAACUCCUAUGGGGAACUUACUGACUUGUUCCCACGUCCUAAAUGUCUCUAAAGAGGGCAACUUCUCGAAAUCACAGCCCCCCGCCGAGCAGGUGUUCGGAGGUGCUGUGGAAAGGGGAACCUGCGCUACUCGUUGCCAUCGAACUGGACUGAGACUUGGGCUUUAGUCCAAUUGGCCAUUCCAUUUACCCUGGCAUUUCUCUCCACACCCAAUGAAAAGGAAAUUUUUAAUGGAAAUUGGAGGUCAUUACAAGGAUCCUUUGAUUUGAAUGUAUACAUUGACUCAAUAGAAGUCCCCAGGGGAGUCCCUGAUGAAUUUAAAGCUAGAAACCAAAUAGCUGUGGGUUUUAAAUCAGCACUAUUUUGGUGGUCCACCAUCAACAUAAAUGUAAAUUGGGUCAGUUGUAUUUACUAUUAUCAACAAAGGUUUAUUAUUAACUAUGCCAGGCAUGCUCUUCAAGGAGUAGCUAGCCAAUUAGACACUACCAGCAGGAUGGGAAAAUAGGAUAGCAUUAGAUGUGCUCUUAGCAGGAAAAAAAGGAGGAAUCUGUGUUAUGUUGAGAGGAAAAUGUUGUACUUUUAUCCCAAAUAAUACUGCCCCUGAUGGUACUGUUACUAAAGCCCUACAGGGACUCACCACUUUAGCUAAUAAAUUAGCUGAAAACUCUGGCAUCAGUGACCCUUUUACAAACUGGUUGGAAGGAUGGUUUGGAAAAUGGAAAGACAUGGCUGCCACUGUCUCAACAUCCCUUGUUAUAGUUGCAGGAGUUGUAACUGCUGUAGAUGCUGGAUAUUCUCUUGUGUGAGAGGCCUGACCCCGAGGCUUAUAGACGCAGCCAUAAACAAAUACCUAUGACAUGCACCCAAAAUAAUCUGUUACUAGAAGGUAAAUCUGACUAUGAAGAAGAGAGUAAAAAUCUAUUAGAGAAAUUUGAAAAAGUACCAAGCAUGAGUUGAAAUACAUUACUGGGAAUAAAAUCAGAGAUUCUUAAAUAAGAAGAGGGGGAACUGUUAGAAAAAGCAUAAAACCUAAAUGGGAUUUAUCCCACCAGGUUUAAACAUUUUAACAGUAAGGUAUUAACGGCCACAUGGUGGAAAAUACGCCAGGAAGCUGCUCAUGCUGAGAGUGGGGGUGGGGAGGGAAUUGGUAAGGACCUGGCUGUACCUCUUUGAGUUUUUUAAACCUACCAAUGAAAUUAAGACAAAUGCAAGAGAAGGCCCAAUGUGGAUAUAAUUGGCUUAGGCGACGUCCGGGAAAGAAUGUGGACCCUGCAGGACUCAGCCAAUGAGGAGCCGGGGGAGGGACUCACAUGCCUGGGAAUAAAUUACUUGGCACCACUGGCCUCAGGUGUGCCUGCCCACCAGACACCCGACCUUGCAAGACUGUCACUGAAGCCUUGCUCCGCUGUCCUCUUUGUCUCCAUGUCCAGUUACUGGGUUUGGACCAGUGUUCUCACAAGUGUUUUCCAGUUUCCUUCAUGUAAAUACUCCUCCCGUGGUCAAUUUCACUGUCAAUAUGAUGUCACUGAACAUAGGGUUGGGAAGAGUUGCCAGAGACAAACCAUUCCAUUUCACAACACUGGUUCGGUAGCUGCAAAUAACCUUCAGAUCACAGAUGAUAAUAAAACAUGGUAAAAUGACUAGGAAGUGAGAAGUUUUGAAUAUCUCUUUAAUGGAGUUAUAAUUAACAAAAAACUUAUCAUACUUAAGAUUUGAAACAUGCCUAACACCCCUGAACCGAAAGUUUCGUUGAAAACAUAAAAGAUUAUAAUAUCGCAAUAAUUUAACCACUUCAGUUGCUCAAAAAACAAAAAGGCAAGAUAUUUGAAAUACAGGCAAUUUAAAAAAGUCAGCUUUGAUGAUGUUUUUGUCACAAAUGAUAACGAAUGCAAAUUAACAGUUGAGAUCAGAAAGAAUGUAAAUAACAGUAGUUUGCCAACAUCUUGUUUUGGAGUCAAACAUUUUUUAUUAUGAACUCUCUGGAAGUUUUUAUCUUUGUUCUUGACAGAAAAAAUGUAAGCCAACAUAAUUAUCCAUUUCAGGAUCUCUAAAGUGACUGAGGAAUUUCAAUAAACUUGACAACAUUCAGAGGGAACAUAUUUAAAUAGUGUUAUGUUCUAGACAUAAAGUUUUCCAGUGCAUACAAGUGAGGGUUCAUUGAAAUCUGCCGCAUUUCAGUUGCGCAUAUUUGGUAUGUCUGUAAUAACAAAAAGUACAAUCAGCACUAAUGUUUUGGAGAAGAAAAUAGCUGCCUGUUGUCUCCCUGCCCAGAUCUAGGGCUGCAUCUCAAAAAGCACGUCUCACCCUGAUUGUUUAUAGUUCAUAAUGCGUAAUCAAAACCAAAAGUUUCUGUGAUGACUGCCCUUGCACUGUCCACCAUGUAAGAACUUAUUCACUAUGUAAGAAUUUGUUCACCAUGUAAGAACUUUUUUGUUAUGCUUCAGAAGAUUGGAGACUGUUGAGAAUUAGGCUUGGGGUUGAUUAAUGAUUGUGCAUUGAGUCCCUUAUACAGAAUUUUAUUGUUGUUAACAACCAUUUGAUCAAUAAAUAUGAGAGAUGCCCUCUCAAAAAAAA
Molecule: long non-coding RNA, 3937 nt
Organism: Manis pentadactyla (Chinese pangolin)
Lineage: Eukaryota; Metazoa; Chordata; Mammalia; Pholidota; Manidae
Exons: 4
Source: RefSeq, a predicted model, not a curated record